AUAUGAAGUUUUACACAAGGUUGUGUGAUAUGUUUUGCAGGACGCAGUGUGCGGUUUGCAGACAUGCCCCCCUCAGCACCCAGGGAGAAGAGCAAGAAGAAGAGGAUUGUGAAGAAGAAAAAGGCCAUCACUCCUCUGCAGGCUAUGAUGCUUAGGAUGGCAGGGCAGUCCAUCCCUGAGGAGGAAGAGGAGGAAGAGGAAGUUGAGGAGGAGUAUACUGACUCUGACGACUCAGACAUCGAGGAUAGGGGACCACCAGGCGACAACCAGUCUCACCUUAUACCCAAUCAGCGCAUGCCUCCACCCUCUGGACCAAUGGGAGGACAGCAACCACCUCUACACAUGCAGGGUCCACCAGGAACAGGGCCUCCACCGUUGGGACCACCCCCAGCUCCUCCAAUGAGGCCUCCUGGUCCGCCCUCUGGCCUGCCUCCCGGCCCUCCACCCGGUGCUCCCCCGUUUUUGAGGCCGCCUGGUAUGCUAGGUGGUCCAAGGGGGCCGAUGCCCCGUCUACUGCCCCCUGGACCCCCACCAGGUCGUCCCCCUGGCCCUCCCCCAGGCCCCCCUCCAGGUCUCCCUCCUGGUCCUCCACCCCGGGGACCCCCACCCAGACUGCCUCCCCCAGCUCCCCCAGGUAUGUGUGGAUGUAAUUUUGUGCCUUUUAUUGGAAUUUCAUAGGACUUUAUCCCUUCUCCUUAACUUCUUGGGGCUAUGUGGGACGUUAGCGUGCCCCCCGUGGCGCACUCUAUCAACAGCAGGUGCAUUUCAAGAGCGGCAAAUUUGAAACCAAAUAAAUGUCAAAAUUCAGAUUUCUCAAACAUACAACUAACUUACAGCCUUUGAAAGAUAAACAUCUCCUUAAUCUAACCACGUUUUCCGAUUUCAAAAAGGUUUUACGGGGAAAGCAUAAAGUUAGGUUAUGUUAGGAGAGUACAUUGAAAAUAGCUGUGUGUAGUGCAUUGUCGAUUCAAAGACAGGCGUCACCAAAACCAUAAAAUCAGCUAAAAUUAUGCACUAACCUUUUACAAUCUCCAUCAGAUGACACUCCUAGGACAUUAUGUUAGACAAUGCAUGCAUUUUUAGUUCUAUCAAGUUCAUAUUUAUAUCUAAAAACAGCGUUUUACUAUGGCGUUGAUGUUCAGGAAAUCGUUUCCCUCCAAUAC
This 1163-nucleotide long non-coding RNA is filed under the name Salmo trutta (river trout). RNAcentral describes it as "lncRNA (ENSSTUG00000004511.1)". Lineage: Eukaryota; Metazoa; Chordata; Actinopteri; Salmoniformes; Salmonidae. The record is from RNAcentral.